CCGAUAUCAGCCGAUAUCGCGAUCGGUAUCUGCGGCUGCUGAAAAAAUCAUGGAGACUCCAUAUAACGCUUAAAUAGUUGAGGUAUAUACACUGGAGCAACUCAAGUGCAUGUGUGACUUUUUGAGAAGAAACCACACAAGGCUGUUGGUUAGCAAUCACUAUGUAAAAGGGUUUGCAGAAACCAGACAGAGAGCCUGUGUGGAGAUGCUAUUGGCUGCCCAGGUCGGACUGCCUCCAACCUGAGGCGGUCUUGGAGUGAUCUAACAAAAGAGUGAAUGAUUAUGCUAGGAAUCAGACAAAGACUG
Lytechinus pictus (painted urchin) is the source of this 306-nucleotide long non-coding RNA. RefSeq lists it as uncharacterized. The transcript has 3 exons. Lineage: Eukaryota; Metazoa; Echinodermata; Echinoidea; Temnopleuroida; Toxopneustidae. The record is from RefSeq and is a predicted model, not a curated record.